UUCUUGUAAUGUGAAUAAUCAUUCCCUCAUUCGUUGUUUCCCAAGUUAUUGUUUGCUUAUUUCUGUUUCCAUAGUAUUUCCAUUGCUUUCUUAUGACUGUGGCCUUGUCACAGCUAACUGUGUGUCCUGAAAAAGUAGGCCGUAUUCCUCCAUGCCUGUUACAUCCAUGUCCAUCACACAGUGGUCAGGCAGCACCUACUAUUUGGGAAUGUAGAGAAAGUGACAUAUAUAAUCUCUCUCCUACAUACUUGUUAGAUCUAUUGUUCAGAGACUCCAUGAAGCAAAAUUAAAAUUG
This 295-nucleotide long non-coding RNA is filed under the name Fukomys damarensis (Damara mole-rat). Its description in RNAcentral is "lncRNA (ENSFDAG00000028630.1)". The record is from RNAcentral. Lineage: Eukaryota; Metazoa; Chordata; Mammalia; Rodentia; Bathyergidae.